Molecule: ribosomal RNA, 268 nt
Filed under: Methylobacterium aquaticum
Lineage: Bacteria; Pseudomonadati; Pseudomonadota; Alphaproteobacteria; Hyphomicrobiales; Methylobacteriaceae
Description: partial 23S ribosomal RNA
Rfam family: Bacterial large subunit ribosomal RNA
Source: RNAcentral
UGUAGUUCUUGGAGGAUCUGUCCCUAGUACGAGAGGACCGGGAUGGACGAACCUCUGGUGGACCUGUUGUGGCGCCAGCCGCAGUGCAGGGUAGCUAUGUUCGGUCGGGAUAACCGCUGAAGGCAUCUAAGCGGGAAACCCCCCUUGAAACGAGAACUCCCUCGAGAGCCGUGGAAGACGACCACGUGGAUAGGCUGGAUGUGCAAGCGCGGUAACGCGCUGAGCUGACCAGUACUAAUCGCUCGAUCGGCUUGAUCGCUCUCAUGAU